UUCGCUUCCUUUGUAAUCGCUCGGUUUCUCAUUAAUCGGGUCGCACCAGAUCGGAGCUCCUCCGCUGUCUCACCCAAAGCCGCACAUUGAGUGAGGCUUGCAAGGGUUUGGAAAAGUUGUGUCGUUCCAAGCGAUGCACAUCCUAUUGCGUUCUUCUCCUUCAUUAUUGCAACACCGCAUUCUUCAAUUUGAGGUUUUUGUUGAACCACAACCCAUUCCUAUCAACGCAUCCAUUCCAAGCGACGCACAUCCAAUGGGUGAGAAAACGAAUCAUUCACAAAAGCUGUUUAUAAUCAUCUGUCAACACAGGCAUUCCAAUUUUGGACGUCAAGGUUAAGGUCUCACCUACCUCUGAUGUCGUUCCAAAUGAGCCUUUGAUUUUUUUUCUUUUCUUAUUUGUGAAUAGAAUUUGUGUUUGAGAUUCAACCUCGGAAAUUCAUCUUUGGGAUGUGAAUAUUUUUCUUGGUGGCAUGGAUUUAUCUAGAAAAGUUCAGAUCUCACAUUGAGAUAGUAAUCCUUUCAUCGAACCACUGAGGUUUCAAAUACCAUAGGUUUGGCAGCGGAGGAGGAGGGAUCAAUGGAGAUGGAGAUUUCAUGGUUGGGGUGAGCGCACAUUCCGCGAGUGGAGGAGGGGUGUGAUCAAUCCAUUACACUUGGUAUAGCAAUUGAUACUGUUGAGUGUUCAUUGCGAAUAUAUCCUAUGACUAUUAGAGUGGUUUGGUUUAAGUGGAACUCGCAAAUGGAUUUCCUAGAGGACAACAACUGAAGAAAUUUACUCGAUUACUCUUUCCUCGAUCAUCCUCCAGCCAAUUUCCUUUUAUUCAAUCAAAGAAGGGGAGAUUGAGAAGAUGGGUCAUCCAUGGCAGGGUGCAAGCGGCGGAGAAAGGGGGGUUGUCAAAGAUGAGGACUCACUCUGUGAUCUCAAUCUUCUCUUCCCUCCCUCCUUCUCCAGGGUCAUGUAUAGCCAAACUUCAUGCCACUAAAGUAGGAGAAUUCUAUAGUUCUUCCUCUUCUUCGCCUCAAAUUGAAGAAAAUUUGUGCAAGUUGGGAGCUAUUUACCCUUAAUUUAGUAGAGCAUUACUUUGUCAGAAUGAUAAUUAUUGUGCGUCACUGUAUUAAGCUCCUACAUUUUAAAUCUAACUUUAACUUUUGGAUUCAGCUCUCUAGAUUGUCUUUUUUUUAGUGGAAUGACUGGCAUUAUA
Long non-coding RNA from Lotus japonicus, 1202 nucleotides. RefSeq lists it as uncharacterized. The record is from RefSeq and is a predicted model, not a curated record. Lineage: Eukaryota; Viridiplantae; Streptophyta; Magnoliopsida; Fabales; Fabaceae. The transcript has 7 exons.